RNAcentral lists this long non-coding RNA (201 nucleotides) under Elaeis guineensis (African oil palm). Its description in RNAcentral is "long non-coding RNA (EGUI_LNC030399)". Lineage: Eukaryota; Viridiplantae; Streptophyta; Magnoliopsida; Arecales; Arecaceae. The record is from RNAcentral.
ACCUGGUUGCAGUAGAAUGCUGGACCCUGACUUUCGCCAUAAUGAAUACGAUAAAGUUCCCCCUACCUGACGCAUCAAUCUGUUGCAGCCAACUGUCUGUCGUCUGUCAUCGAGAACGAACACCUACAAAAAAGCAUCCAUGCAGAUCGGAUUUGUGUCUGGCGGAGACCCUCCGAUGCCUAAGUUGGAGAGAAAAGUUGG